RNAcentral lists this long non-coding RNA (255 nucleotides) under Chlamydomonas reinhardtii. RNAcentral describes it as "long non-coding RNA (CREI_LNC001042)". The record is from RNAcentral. Lineage: Eukaryota; Viridiplantae; Chlorophyta; Chlorophyceae; Chlamydomonadales; Chlamydomonadaceae.
GCUCAUCACUUGAAAAACUAAGCCACGUAAGUACACAGCUUCGGCAGACAGUACAACCCCACAAAAUCUUCGCAGCUUGCGCCCGGUCAGACGGGGUCAGAGGCAGGGGAGGAGGGCCUCCCCUGGUCAGAGGCCUUCUUCUACGCGCCUUACCGGACCGUCGCUCCCACGCUGACUGACCGCAGCUCACAGGACCCGCUGUGCGUUCCGCUUGCACAUUCCCCGGGUGCCUACAUAACAUACCAGUCACGCCGG